This 497-nucleotide ribosomal RNA is filed under the name uncultured bacterium. Its description in RNAcentral is "partial 16S ribosomal RNA". It matches the Rfam family "Bacterial small subunit ribosomal RNA", at positions 28 to 507 of the family's 1533-position model. The record is from RNAcentral.
GAUGAACGCUGGCGGCGUGCCUAAUACAUGCAAGUCGAGCGAACAGACGAGGAGCUUGCUCCUCUGACGUUAGCGGCGGACGGGUGAGUAACACGUGGAUAACCUACCUAUAAGACUGGGAUAACUUCGGGAAACCGGAGCUAAUACCGGAUAAUAUAUUGAACCGCAUGGUUCAAUAGUGAAAGACGGUUUUGCUGUCACUUAUAGAUGGAUCCGCGCCGCAUUAGCUAGUUGGUAAGGUAACGGCUUACCAAGGCAACGAUGCGUAGCCGACCUGAGAGGGUGAUCGGCCACACUGGAACUGAGACACGGUCCAGACUCCUACGGGAGGCAGCAGUAGGGUAUCUUCCGCAAUGGGCGAAAGCUUGACGGAGCAACGCCGCGUGAGUGAUGAAGGUCUUCGGAUCGUAAAACUCUGUUAUUAGGGAAGAACAAAUGUGUAAGUAACUAUGCACGUCUUGACGGUACCUAAUCAGAAAGCCACGGCUAACUACGUG